CAAUUGGGCUGCUUAACAAUGCGAGUCGAACGGACUCUUCGGAGUUAGUGGCGGACGGGUGAGUAACGCGUGAGAAUCUAGCUUCAGAAUGGGGACAACAGAGGGAAACCGCUGCUAAUACCCGAUGUGCCGAAAGGUGAAAGAUUUAUCGUCUGAAGAUGAGCUCGCGUCCGAUUAGCUAGUUGGUAAGGUAAGAGCUUACCAAGGCGACGAUCGGUAGCUGGUCUGAGAGGAUGACCAGCCACACUGGGACUGAGACACGGCCCAGACUCCUACGGGAGGCAGCAGUGGGGAAUUUUCCGCAAUGGGCGAAAGCCUGACGGAGCAAGACCACGUGAGGGAGGAAGGUCUGUGGAUUGUAAACCUCUUUUGAUAGGGAAGAAGUUCUGACGGUACCUAUCGAAUCAGCCUCGGCUAACUCCGUGCCAGCAGCCGCGGUAAUA
Molecule: ribosomal RNA, 443 nt
Filed under: uncultured Synechocystis sp.
Lineage: Bacteria; Bacillati; Cyanobacteriota; Cyanophyceae; Synechococcales; Merismopediaceae
Description: bacterial SSU rRNA
Rfam family: Bacterial small subunit ribosomal RNA
Source: RNAcentral